RNAcentral lists this long non-coding RNA (343 nucleotides) under Salvia miltiorrhiza (redroot sage). RNAcentral describes it as "long non-coding RNA (SMIL_LNC008750)". Lineage: Eukaryota; Viridiplantae; Streptophyta; Magnoliopsida; Lamiales; Lamiaceae. The record is from RNAcentral.
UUCUUUUAAAAUUUUAGUUUUUUACGCAGAAACUUGGCAAAAAUCUCAAGAAAAAUGAUGAGAAAGAAAGAGGAAAAUGGUUCUGAGCAAACCAAUAAAAAUUGCCCUAGAACCCUUCACCACUGAUGCUACAUAGCUCGANUACGUAUAGUACGUACUAUAGUACUACGUAUUAGUAUAUAUAUAUAUAUAUAUAUAUAUAUAUAUAUAUAUAUAUAGAUAUAGAUAUAUAGAUGCAAUGAUUGGUGAAAACAGCGAAAAAUUUCAAGUGGAGAACACUGAACGGCUGUCACAAAUUCUCAGAUGCUUUAUCGUCGUUAUUCCAAAAAUAACUACAAUUUCU